UAAUGUUAGAUUCUUUGAUAUCAGACACUGGCCAGUAACAGCAACAGAAAAGAAGAAAAACCUAUUUAUCGGCGAAAAAUACCGUAUACUACGUUUUUAUUGAGAUAAACGCUUUGGCCAUUCUGUGCUUUGGCUGUAUGCCUUUGUUUAGUGAUGGUAUGACGUAAUUGUUGAGGUCAGUUCUAGGAAAGGGAAAGUCCCAUACCAGGAAUCGAGUGUUUGUAUCAACCGUGUUUGUAUCGAAUUUAUGGCGUGAAAAACUUGUAUUAUAUUAAAGGUAGAGAUUCAAGAAUUAAGCAGAGAUGUUUAUAUUUCAUAUUGGAACUGAAUGCUUGGAGAGGUCACAACUGUGUGAUUAAUGGUAAGAUAUUUGUCAC
Paramuricea clavata is the source of this 377-nucleotide non-coding RNA. Lineage: Eukaryota; Metazoa; Cnidaria; Anthozoa; Malacalcyonacea; Plexauridae. The record is from the annotation of a GenBank genome assembly.